Xenopus tropicalis (tropical clawed frog) is the source of this 995-nucleotide long non-coding RNA. RefSeq lists it as uncharacterized. The record is from RefSeq and is a predicted model, not a curated record. NCBI's taxonomy places the organism in Eukaryota, Metazoa, Chordata, Amphibia, Anura, Pipidae. The transcript has 3 exons.
AACUAUGAGACGAGCGCGGAUUUUUUUCAGAGAGUAGAAGUGCAGGUGGGCGGGCCGGACCCGGCGGGAUGGGUCUGUCAGAAUCGGUUGCCGUUCGGAACUUGCAUCAUGGCUGUUCUUUCUACGGUGCAACUAUAACCCGCACUGUCUGUACUGUCCCGGCUGCAGAGCCAACCAGCAUGAAGGGCUGCUGGGGACUCGCUAUAUUGGGCGCUACAGGGGAGCCCCUAAUGUCUGUGUGCAUGACUUUGUGUCCCGGCUUGUGUGGUUUAGCGCGCAGUUUUAGCGCCCUGGAAAUGAAAGCGCAACUGGAAUUGCGCGUCGGUACAUUAUCCUAAUGGCUACUAUUCCUACAUUCCUGCACCGGGAUGUUGUAAUACUCUGCAUUCGUUGGUCAAGAUGUCGUUUUAUGGGAGAAAGUACCAGCGACUGGAAUACUUUAUAUAGCGUCGGCAAAUUGUCAUUUAUUUGAAUUUAUAAAUGGAAACCUUAGGAAAAGCUGCACCAAAUGUGUCGUGAGAACUCGUCUGUAGUUCUAAAGAACGUUCAACUGAACGAGUCUGGGAUGUACAUGAUUAAGAUUAUCAGUGAACGCGCCGUCUGCAGAAACCUCACUGGAACUGGUGUCAGUGUGCAGGGACUGGGAACUGCCGGUCAGACUGUCACAACAUUCCCUGUGCAGAGUAAAAUGCGAAUCUUUGCAUUUCCAAACAGAGAGAGGGAAGAUCCUGUCUGACUAUAAGUCCAAAGUAUAGGACGAUGGCACAUUUGUCUUUCAUCUGAAAAAUCCAAAGCCUGUGAAGUAAACCAUACUAACGGAAAUUGGAUCAAAACAACAUGGAACUGCGGUAGAUUUAGUUUGCACUACAAAUACCGCCACUGGGUUUUUGAUGGCUAAAUGCUGCUACCAGACCCUCUAAAUCCUGCUAAAUGUCUGGUACACUUUUUUUAAUCACAACUUCACAGUGGCAAUUAAAAUGCCUUCUGCGCCAUAA